Molecule: long non-coding RNA, 168 nt
Organism: Dermochelys coriacea (leatherback sea turtle)
Lineage: Eukaryota; Metazoa; Chordata; Testudines; Dermochelyidae
Exons: 3
Source: RefSeq, a predicted model, not a curated record
CCUUUGCCCCCCUCACCUUCCAGAGGAGAGGAGUCACAUCUGAGGAUCCGAUCCCUGGGGCAGGAGGUUACAGUCACAGGAAGCAGCAGGGUCCUAUUGCUUUGGUGAGAAAAGACAGGGGAGAAAAUCAGGCAACGCCAUUGCGUUUAGAAGCCCCCUUCUCAGCAG